UGGUCAAGCUGUAAAGGGCGCAAGGGGAAUGCCUUGGCACUGAGAGCCGAUGAAGGACGCGACAAGCUGCG
RNAcentral lists this ribosomal RNA (71 nucleotides) under Butyricicoccus sp. AM29-23AC. RNAcentral's name for it is "partial 23S ribosomal RNA". Lineage: Bacteria; Bacillati; Bacillota; Clostridia; Eubacteriales; Butyricicoccaceae. The record is from RNAcentral.